Molecule: small RNA, 484 nt
Filed under: Rattus norvegicus (Norway rat)
Lineage: Eukaryota; Metazoa; Chordata; Mammalia; Rodentia; Muridae
Description: uncharacterized LOC102550601
Source: RNAcentral
CGUGGCCCUCAUCCCCUCACACAGAGCAUGGAAGUAGGAGGAGCGGCUGCUGGUGUCUGGUCUUCUGGGGCUGUAGUGGAUCCUGCUUUCUAACGUGGAGUCUGUGCCAGUUCUGGGUAAUCGGUUUCAGAAACACACAGCAGACUUGACUCAUGCUUCCUGUCUCCUCCAUUCACAAUACCGCUUAUCUCUCAAUGGCUUCACAGAGGCAAACAUGGUACUCGUGUCUCCCCACUCCUGACCAUCCUGCCACAUCCUGUUCUUGAGGAAAUGAUUAAAUUGGUUGAGUAGCUGAAAUGUUCAACUUUUACUUUUCUUACCUUGGCGGCAGAGGGAAGGCCCUUGAAGGUAUUUCAGGGAUGUGAGGAGACUACUGGAACACACAAUCCUGGAGAUGGUCUGGUAUUUGUCUUCAGUAAGUGGAUGUUGGGCUUUUCCUCACAUUCCUAGCCUGUAGAUCAGUCACAGCAAAAGAAUAGAGACC